UAUAGCUGGGGCUGUGACUAACAAUAAUAACAGGCGAAACUGUGACUUUGCCCCAGCCCCGGAACAAGAGGCCGCCCUGUCCCCAGAGUCAUGCAGAAGGCGCAUGGUGACUCACACCCUUGUAAUCCCUUUGCUGGGUUUCCCCCCACUCUGCAGGGAAGGAACUUUUUUUCUCUUCAAUCUUGGCACUGCACAUGGUCCCAGCCAUGCUGGUCCCAUAGCCAUUACAUGUGACAAGAGCGCGACUGCACUGAAACCCAUGGAUCAGAACCAAAGAGCACCCAAGAGAAGAUGCAUUAUUUUUUCUGGAGACUGCUGACAAAUACAAGGAAAAUCUGAAAUACAGGGUUACAAAUGGAAAAAAAAGAAAAAGAGUCCUGAGGUAUUUUCUUGUUUAAUAGAUAAAGUCUCAAGCACAAAGGCACUGUCAGAUCUUAUUUUUGCUUCAGAUGUGUGAAACCUUUUCUUCCUCACAUCGGAUUUAGUAUUUACUUAAAGAUAAGGAGGAAUCCUUUGAGGGAAAAAACGGUGAUUACCUGCUUGACAGACUUAUUCACUCAUUCACUGAGUCUUCCACUUCCUUCUGUGACCAGUGAAUUAAAUGAUGUGUAGUUGGAGCACCCCCAGCCAACAAGCAAAGAAGAGGCAGAUGAAGAUGCAGAAAGGACAAAGAGGAGAUAGUACUCCUGGAGAAAAAGUCAAGAAGUAGCUCAAAGGGAGAAAAAUUCUAAGGGAACUAAAGCAGGAAAGCUUUAGAAAAGCAGGAAAGCUUUAGAAAAACAGUUGUUUUUCUACACAAUUUUCCCAUCUGGGUCUCAGGUAUGAUUUAUACAAGCACAAUGAACUUCAAUGUUGCACUAGUUCUAGUUUUAUAUUUUUUGAUAUUUAUUUCCCUACCAAAACAAGCCAUCACAAACUCUCUGGGACAAAGACUUUAUACUAUAUGGUUUAAACAGUGGCUAGCACAUCUGACCCCAUCACCAGGAUGUGCUUUUGCAAACCAAACCCAAUAGGAGAUGGUAAUUGGAGAUGAAACCCUGAAAU
Cuculus canorus (common cuckoo) is the source of this 1044-nucleotide long non-coding RNA. RefSeq lists it as uncharacterized. Lineage: Eukaryota; Metazoa; Chordata; Aves; Cuculiformes; Cuculidae. The transcript is spliced from 3 exons. The record is from RefSeq and is a predicted model, not a curated record.